Molecule: long non-coding RNA, 230 nt
Filed under: Brassica rapa (field mustard)
Lineage: Eukaryota; Viridiplantae; Streptophyta; Magnoliopsida; Brassicales; Brassicaceae
Description: long non-coding RNA (BRAP_LNC000045)
Source: RNAcentral
GUCGAACCACAUAGGACUAUUUGUCACACACUAUAGAUGCGGAAAACAAAUCUAUAUAAGAGCAUGAUUAAUGAAAGUUUUUGAGGUGAGGUUCUUGGUGAAAUAUAAAAAACCGUUUCUUAAAUGUUAACUAAAAAGAAUAAAAACCGGCUCUUAAACCUUCAUUAAUCAUGCUCUUAGAAUCUUAAUAAGAGAAAAUAUAUCCGAGAAAAUUAUUUCCAGAUUUCUCC